RNAcentral lists this ribosomal RNA (253 nucleotides) under uncultured bacterium. RNAcentral's name for it is "partial 16S ribosomal RNA". It matches the Rfam family "Bacterial small subunit ribosomal RNA", at positions 524 to 776 of the family's 1533-position model. The record is from RNAcentral.
UACGUAGGGUGCGAGCGUUGUCCGGAAUUAUUGGGCGUAAAGAGCUCGUAGGCGGUUUGUCGCGUCUAUCGUGAAAACCUGCAGCUUAACUGUGGGCUUGCGGUGGAUACGGGCAGACUUGAGUUCGGUAGGGGAGACUGGAAUUCCUGGUGUAGCGGUGAAAUGCGCAGAUAUCAGGAGGAACACCGGUGGCGAAGGCGGGUUGCUGGGCCGACACUGACGCUGAGGCGCGAAAGCUAGGGGAGCGAACGGG